UACGGGGGGAGCAAGCGUUGUUCGGAUUUACUGGGCGUAAAGGGCGCGUAGGCGGUCGUGACAAGUCACUUGUGAAAUCUCCGGGCUUAACUCGGAACGGUCAAGUGAUACUGUCGGACUAGAGUACAGAAGGGGGCAACUGGAAUUCUCGGGUGUAGCGGUGAAAUGCGUAGAUAUCGAGAGGGAACACCUGCGGCGAAGGCGGGUUGCUGGGCUGACACUGACGCUGGAGGCGCGAAAGCUAGGGGAGCGAACGGG
This 258-nucleotide ribosomal RNA is filed under the name uncultured bacterium. RNAcentral describes it as "partial 16S ribosomal RNA". It matches the Rfam family "Bacterial small subunit ribosomal RNA", at positions 524 to 776 of the family's 1533-position model. The record is from RNAcentral.